AUUAUUCUUAUAAAUAUUUGAUUGAACUUCAUCCUUCCUCCCAACACACAGUCACUUGAAUGUAUUGCUGUUUUGUGUUCAUGGAAGUGAAUUGAUCUCUCUUAUAAUUAGAUAGGUGAUGUUGUUACUUAAUCUUUAGUAUAUAAGACAACCCGAUACAGAACAAGGGUGGGCAGCUUUGACAGACCCAGGGACCCUUUCCUGCAGGAUCCUCUGAUGGUUACUCAGAGGGCCAGGAAUGGAAAACUAAACAAAGAAACAAAAUUGGAUCUGACUGGUAAAGCAUUUCUGGACUUGAAAGAACAAGCUCUGUGUGUGACUGUAUUCAGCUCCAGUUUCCUACUUUGCCUACAUCUACAGAAUAUACUUAAAUUCUUUCUUGCUCCAAACUCAAAGACUAUAGUUGUACAGAAAGGUCCACUAAUGUUACUUUAGUUCAAAAAUACUAUAACAGGGCUAAAUGUAUGAGCUUCAAGCUUCUUUUUAUGCCUAUCUAUUUUUUAUUUUUUUAUUUACGAUACUUUUACCCUGCCUUUCUCACCCCGGAGGGGACUCUAUUCCUCCUGCAUGAUCACAGAUGGCCCAUGUUAUCUGCUGCGGUUUGGUUCCAGGACACACACACACUGUGAAUGUCAAAAUCUGUGGAUGCUUAUUAGAUACAUUGGUGAAGUAAAGUGAUGUUUCUUAUAUAAAAUGGCAAAAUCAAGGUUUGCUUAUUGAAUUUUUUAAAGGGAGGGGUUAGUUUCAAACCAUGAAUGGGUGAAUCCGCAUAUUCAGAGUCCAUUGGUAAAGAGGGCCAACUGUAGUAGGAAAUUGAAAGCUUUUCCCCAUUACCAGUUAACAAUUCUUUAUUAUUUAUAUGUAAAUCCAAAACUAUGGUUUUUCCUGAUUCAGACUUGUAGAAGCUAACAGGGGCUUUAACUGAAGUUUCAGAUUGGCUUGUUUCUGUAAACCAUGGUUAAAACUAGCCAUAGUUUGUUCACUCUGGGAUAUAAUGAAUAACCAUGUUUAAUUUCAAUCACGGUUCAGCUCCCCAGAUGUUUUCCACUACAGAUCUCAAUAUUGUGUACCUUAACUGUCCUGACUAGGGCUCAUGGGAGAAAUGAACUGAAUUGGAGGUCUGCAAUUGCAUACCACUACUUAAAAUAAAAUCAGAACUUCAUCUCUACUCUUUGCAGCCAUAGUUAAGGAGAUAAGGGAUCACACAUAAGCCAUUAUUCAUUCUAUUCAUCUAAAAGUUGGUGAAUUUUGUUAGUGACAUAGCUGUAAUUAAUGAGAGGUUUAGCAUUGUGUCAAAACAAAAACCAUUACCUCUAUAUUUAUUUCGUAUCAAAAGCAUUGCAUAAUAAAUAAAUAAAUUUAAAAGUGAUGAAAUAAAGGAAAUCGCAAGCUUGUGAUUACCUCUAUAUGGAUGUAACACUUAACUGUGCCUUGUUUUAUAGAGAAGCUUCUUUAUGAAUGUUUUAGUUCUGUUUAAGUGUUAGGCAUAAAAUGGCAUGAAAGGGCUCUCUUGUUUCUGGGUAGAUGUUAGAAAACAAUGGUAAAGUCAGUUACCUCACUUCCUACCUUUUGUACUCGCAAUUCAGUCUCACAGAUAACUUACGUGUACUCUUUGACAGCUGGUUUAUGUGAGGUAAGCCAAACCAUGGUUUUUUGGUUAUGCUUGGAUGCUCCUCUGUGGUUAUGAAACCAUGGAUGAGCACCAUGACCACCUGUGCCUCAUAUGUCCUUUUCCUCCUCCAUUGUGAGCUUUAAGUUGAAACUCUCUUUUACAUCUGGAUCUUGGAGGAGGCUAUGCUAGUUGUGCUGGUACCUGGGCAUUGUCAUCAGAUAAGUUUUCUGUAGUGGUGCCCAGGGCCUUCAUAUAUGGAACUUACAGAUGCUACCCUGCAUAGUAAGGACUAAUGGGGCCUGAUGUAAUGACUGCAAGUAGAGUACUAGAGAAAAGUUGAAGUGGGGCGCAAUCAAAGGCACAGAGAGGGAAGAAGAAAAAAACAAGCUGAAUUCCUGUCAUUCAACUUAGUGUGACAGUUCUUGAGGAAAAGUUAUAAUAAAUGUAAAAUGUACAGUAGAGUCUCACUUAUGCAAGCUAAAUGGGCUGGCAGAAGCUUGGAUAAGCGAAUAUCUUGGAUAAUAAGGAGGGAUUAAGGAAAAGCCUAUUAAACAUCAAAUUAGGUUAUGAUUUUAUAAAUUAAGCACCAAAACAUCAUGUUAUACAACAAAUUUGACAGAAAAAGUAGUUCAAUGUGCAGAAAUGUUAUGUUGUAAUUACUGUAUUUAGGACUUUAGCACCAAAAUAUCAUGAUAUAUUGAAAACAUUGACUACAAAAAUGGCUUGGAUAAGCGAGGCUUGGAUAAGUGAGACUCUACUGUAUUUGCAAAUAUUUUCAUUUAAAAGAAGGUGACUUUUAACAUUAAAUUUGUUUAUGAAGAUUUUCCUCUCUAUACAAACAUUAAUAUUCCUAUGAAGAUAGAAAGAGCAUUGUAAUUUGCACAUAGAAAUGCAUGAGGAAGGAACUGGCAAAAGCAACUCUUGAGUAUUCCUUUUCUCAGAAAAUCCUAUAAAAUUAAUGGGGUCAACAGACAACUUGAAGACACACACAGAGACAUUUUUGUGGUUCAAAUACACAUUCACUUUCAUUCUCUUAAUAUGUAGUAGAUGAGAUUAAGGGUGUAGUUAACUCAGAAUGAAACAAAACAAAAGUCAGCCCUAGAAGAAAAUCCAUAUUUGCUGUUUUAGAGUUCAAAAGGUUGUACGUUUAUCUGGGCACCACCUUGCUAGAGCCUCGGAACAGUGAUUCUCAUGAUCUGAUCCUUUUCCCAUUUACGUCUGAAGUAAUUCUGCCUUUAGGCAUUUUGGCCUUCCCUUUUUCUGGAGAGGGAAUUGGUGGGAGGUAAUGUAAAUGGACCACAAAGUGAUAUCCAACUAUUCAACAGAAGGAAAAGUACAUUGAAGUCCCAAAUGCUGUGGUUGAAAUCAGAGUAGAAGAAAAUGUUGGUUUAUUCCUCCAAGAAUUCGUGUUUCAUUUAUGAAUUAAAAAAAUCCAUCUUCUUUUUUGAUGGUUCAGAAUAUAUUGCUCUACUGCCUCUGUUUUUAAGUUCUGAUUUCUUGAUGCAAGGAAGCUUGCAGUGAACUAAACUAUUGUUUUUACUGUCUGUUUAAAGCCUGUGAUGAAUGGUUGUGGGAAGCAGUAUGCAAGAUAAGAUAGGCCUUUGGCCAGAUCUUAAUACAGUAGAGUCUCACUUAUCCAACAUAAACGGGCCGGCAGAAUGUUGGAUAAGCGAAUAUGUUAGAUAAUGAGGGAUUAAGGAAAAGCCUAUUAAACAUCAAAUUAGGUUAAGAUUUUACAAAUUAAGCACCAAAACAUCAUGUUAUACAACAAAUUUGACAGAAAAAGUAGUUCAAUAUGCAUUAAUGCUCUGUAGUAAUUAUUGUAUUUACGAAUUUAGCACCAAAAUAUCAUGAUGUAUUGAAAACAUUGACUACAAAAAUGUGUUGGAUAAUCCAGAAUGUUGGAGAAGUGAGACUCUACUGUAUGUGUUUACUAGUGUGAGACCCUGGACUUCUUUGUAUGGCUACUAAAAUCCUGAUUUUGUAUUUUAUUUUACUAUCUAGAAAUGUUGAUCUACUUGUAUCCUUUUCUCUCUAAUAUUGCUGUAAAUUUCUUUGAGCAUUAUCUUUCUGUGGAAAAUGAGCAGAAAAACUAAUAAUUAUCAUCUGGCAUGACUGUUUUUAUGUUCAGAUAAUUGUAGUUGGUUUUGCCCUUCACUUUGUAAACCAGCACAACCAGCAAGGUUAGGUGAGUAGAGGUCCUUGAAUAUAUAUAGUGAUUGUACCAAUCAUGUCAGUACAUAAGGGGAAAAAUACUCAGAUAUUAUGCCAAGAGACAGCAUAGUAUUUGUGUAUUCUUCCCCUUCUGUAUUGAUGUUGCAAGAUAGAAGUCAAGUCAUACUCAAGAGAUCAUCAUCUCAAUUUUUGGGGGCAGUAGGCUUGACAUUUAGCAGCUUUUUCACCUGUAUACUUAUAAGGUGUAACACUUUGUGAUGCAGGUGGAAAACAUCCUGUCUUUUACAUUUGUUGUACCUGAAUGGCAGUAUUAACAAAAGAUUUCUAUUUUCACACAUUUCUAUCCUCCCAAGGGUGAUUCAUCUCCCUUUUUGCAAAGUGACACUACAAGAAGUACGUAGAAAUUGUGCACUAGUACCAAUGAUUUUUAAAUGUUUCUGGUACUAGGUCUUUACAGUUUGGUUGUCAAAUUACUCUGUUCAAAGCCAUAGUUUAAACUCUGUAGAACACUGGGUCCUUUCCCUUAUAUUGCAUGAAUAAUGAUUACACCAUUCAGUGGUGGCUUCUAUCAGUUGAAUAAAAGAACAAUUGAGAAUUUAAA
This is a long non-coding RNA of Anolis carolinensis (green anole), 4388 nucleotides long. RefSeq lists it as uncharacterized. The record is from RefSeq and is a predicted model, not a curated record. Lineage: Eukaryota; Metazoa; Chordata; Lepidosauria; Squamata; Anolidae. The transcript is spliced from 2 exons.